UACGGAGGGGGCUAGCGUUGUUCGGAAUUACUGGGCGUAAAGCGCACGUAGGCGGCUUUGUAAGUUAGAGGUGAAAGCCCAGGGCUUAACCCUGGAAUUGCCUUUAAGACUGCAUCGCUAGAAUCGUGGAGAGGUGAGUGGAAUUCCGAGUGUAGAGGUGAAAUUCGUAGAUAUUCGGAAGAACACCAGUGGCGAAGGCGGCUCACUGGCCCGAUACUGACGCUGAGGUGCGAAAGCGUGGGGAGCGAUCCGG
Molecule: ribosomal RNA, 253 nt
Filed under: uncultured bacterium
Lineage: Bacteria
Description: partial 16S ribosomal RNA
Rfam family: Bacterial small subunit ribosomal RNA
Source: RNAcentral